CUCCAGACUCCUACGGGAGGCAGCAGUGAGGAAUAUUGGUCAAUGGCCGGGAGGCUGAACCAGCCAAGUCGCGUGAGGGAAGACGGCCCUACGGGUUGUAAACCUCUUUUGUCAGGGAGCAAGGUGCAGGUCGGGACCUGCUGUGAGAGUACCUGAAGAAAAAGCAUCGGCUAACUCCGUGCCAGCAGCCGCGGUAAUACGGAGGAUGCGAGCGUUAUCCGGAUUUACUGGGUGUAAAGGGAGCGUAGACGGCAUGGCAAGUCAGAUGUGAAAGCCCGGGGCGCAACCCCGGGACUGCAUUUGAAACUGUCAGGCUGGAGUGCAGGAGAGGUAAGUGGAAUUCCUAGUGUAGCGGUGAAAUGCGUAGAUAUUAGGAGGAACACCAGUGGCGAAGGCGGCUUACUGGACUGUAACUGACGUUGAGGCUCGAAAGCGUGGGGAGCAAACAGGAUUAGAUACCCGUGUACUA
Molecule: ribosomal RNA, 469 nt
Filed under: uncultured bacterium
Lineage: Bacteria
Description: bacterial SSU rRNA
Rfam family: Bacterial small subunit ribosomal RNA
Source: RNAcentral